RNAcentral lists this ribosomal RNA (613 nucleotides) under uncultured bacterium. Its description in RNAcentral is "bacterial SSU rRNA". It matches the Rfam family "Bacterial small subunit ribosomal RNA", at positions 169 to 780 of the family's 1533-position model. The record is from RNAcentral.
CCCGAUGGCAUAACAUGACCUCCUGGUUUUGUUAUUAAAGAAUUUCGGUAGAGGAUGGGGAUGCGUUCCAUUAGGCAGUUGGCGGGGUAACGGCCCACCAAACCUUCGAUGGAUAGGGGUUCUGAGAGGAAGGUCCCCCACAUUGGAACUGAGACACGGUCCAAACUCCUACGGGAGGCAGCAGUGAGGAAUAUUGGUCAAUGGGCGAGAGCCUGAACCAGCCAAGUAGCGUGAAGGAUGACCGCCCUAUGGGUUGUAAACUUCUUUUAUAUGGGAAUAAAGUCUGCCACGUGUGGCAUUUUGUAUGUACCAUAUGAAUAAGGAUCGGCUAACUCCGUGCCAGCAGCCGCGGUAAUACGGAGGAUCCGAGCGUUAUCCGGAUUUAUUGGGUUUAAAGGGAGCGUAGGUGGACAUGUAAGUCAGUUGUGAAAGUUUGCGGCUCAACCGUAAAAUUGCAGUUGAUACUGCGUGUCUUUGAGUACAGUAGAGGUGGGCGGAAUUCGUGGUGUAGCGGUGAAAUGCUUAGAUAUCACGAAGAACUCCGAUUGCGAAGGCAGCUCACUGGACUGCAACUGACACUGAUGCUCGAAAGUGUGGGUAUCAAACAGGAUUA